GCCCCUAUAGCUCAGACGGAUAGAGCAGUGGUUUCCUAAACCAUGUGCCGCAGGUUCGAGUCCUGCUAGGGGCA
RNAcentral lists this transfer RNA (74 nucleotides) under Calditrichota bacterium. RNAcentral describes it as "Calditrichaeota bacterium tRNA-Arg". It matches the Rfam family "tRNA". From Rfam's summary of the family: Transfer RNA (tRNA) molecules are approximately 80 nucleotides in length. Their secondary structure includes four short double-helical elements and three loops (D, anti-codon, and T loops). The record is from RNAcentral. Lineage: Bacteria; Pseudomonadati; Calditrichota.